GCGUGUGGGAUGACAGGGCUUCGCCUUGUAAACCACUGUCGGAUGGGACGAGAGGGAGCCUUGGGCUCCUGGGACGGUACCAUCAAAGGAAGGGUCGGCUAACUACGUGCCAGCAGCCGCGGUAAUACGUAGGACCCGAGCGUUGUCCGGAUUCACUGGGUAUAAAGGGUGCGUAGGCGGUCUUGUGCGUCAGAGGUGAAAUAUCCGGGCUUAACCCGGAGGGUGCCUUUGAUACGGCAGGACUUGAGUCCGAGAGAGGAUGAUGGAAUUCCUGGUGUAGCGGUGAAAUGCGU
This 293-nucleotide ribosomal RNA is filed under the name uncultured bacterium. RNAcentral describes it as "partial 16S ribosomal RNA". It matches the Rfam family "Bacterial small subunit ribosomal RNA", at positions 399 to 691 of the family's 1533-position model. The record is from RNAcentral.